This 468-nucleotide ribosomal RNA is filed under the name uncultured bacterium. Its description in RNAcentral is "partial 16S ribosomal RNA". It matches the Rfam family "Bacterial small subunit ribosomal RNA", at positions 28 to 507 of the family's 1533-position model. The record is from RNAcentral.
GACGAACGCUGGCGGCGUGCUUAACACAUGCAAGUCGAACGGAAAGGCCCUGCUUUUGUGGGGUGCUCGAGUGGCGAACGGGUGGGUAACACGUGAGUAACCUGCCCUUGACUUUGGGAUAACUUCAGGAAACUGGGGCUAAUACCGGAUAGGAGCUCCUGCUGCAUGGUGGGGGUUGGAAAGUUUCGGCGGUUGGGGAUGGACUCGCGGCUUAUCAGCUUGUUGGUGGGGUAGUGGCUUACCAAGGCUUUGACGGGUAGCCGGCCUGAGAGGGUGACCGGCCACAUUGGGACUGAGAUACGGACCAGACUCCUACGGGAGGCAGCAGUGGGGAAUAUUGCACAAUGGGCGGAAGCCUGAUGCAGCAACGCCGCGUGCGGGAUGACGGCCUUCGGGUUGUAAACCGCCUUCGCCUGUGACGAAGCGUGAGUGACGGUAAUGGGUGAAGAAGCACCGGCUAACUACGUG